GGUAUUUAUAUAUCUCGGGGAGAUUUAGAGUAUAACCUCUAAGAUCUUUGGUAUUUAAGUGUCAACAUCGAUUUAUUUAUUUAUUGCUGAGCUAACUGUAACUGACACAAUAACAAAAUCUAAUCGUGUAUUGCACUGCAAAAGAAAUAUUCUCAUUAUGUAUUUUCUCUAAAUGAUGGCUCACCAUUGCAUUUGAAUACUCGCUGUAAAUAUCAAUAAUAUCGAGUAAUUACU
This is a non-coding RNA of Tursiops truncatus (common bottlenose dolphin), 234 nucleotides long. NCBI's taxonomy places the organism in Eukaryota, Metazoa, Chordata, Mammalia, Artiodactyla, Delphinidae. The record is from Rfam.